UGGGGAAUAUUGGACAAUGGGCGAAAGCCUGAUCCACCCAUGCCGCGUGUGUGAAGAAGGUCUUCGGAUUGUAAAGCACUUUAAGUUGGGAGGAAGGGCAUUAACCUAAUACGUUAGUGUUUUGACGUUACCGACAGAAUAAGCACCGGCUAACUCUGUGCCAGCAGCCGCGGUAAUACAGAGGGUGCAAGCGUUAAUCGGAAUUACUGGGCGUAAAGCGCGCGUAGGUGGUUUGUUAAGUUGGAUGUGAAAGCCCCGGGCUCAACCUGGGAACUGCAUCCAAAACUGGCAAGCUAGAGUACGGUAGAGGGUGGUGGAAUUUCCUGUGUAGCGGUGAAAUGCGUAGAUAUAGGAAGGAACACCAGUGGCGAAGGCGACCACCUGGACUGAUACUGACACUGAGGUGCGAAAGCGUGGGGAGCAAACA
This 427-nucleotide ribosomal RNA is filed under the name uncultured bacterium. RNAcentral describes it as "partial 16S ribosomal RNA". It matches the Rfam family "Bacterial small subunit ribosomal RNA", at positions 355 to 774 of the family's 1533-position model. The record is from RNAcentral.